UAUAUAUGGUUUUUUAAACUGAAAUCAACUUUCAUGAAUGAACAUGCACAGGGGUGGAGCUUUUACAUGCCAAAUGGACAUUACAACUUGGGGGCACAUGCAAAUUUGAUUUGAAAAGCCAUAUACUUACUCACUGAUCACUGUUACCUGUUGCAAUGGUGAUUGGCGAUAAUUGAUUCACAUGAGGAUAAGAAAGAGGAGUGCUGCUUACUAAAAGCAAGUCCGACAUUCUUGAAUUAAAGAAAUAAAAAGAGGGUCUUCAUCUUGGUCGAUGUAUUUGAUGGUUUUAAAGUUUUAAGUUUUGUGUGCCUUCAUCUAGCGUUUGUAUACAUUGUGCCUUAAAUUGUAAGCCCCGGCCGCAACGCGGCGG
Molecule: long non-coding RNA, 370 nt
Filed under: Helianthus annuus (common sunflower)
Lineage: Eukaryota; Viridiplantae; Streptophyta; Magnoliopsida; Asterales; Asteraceae
Description: hypothetical non coding rna
Source: RNAcentral